GAGCCCUAAUGCAUAUAGAUCAAAAUAGGCCAUUUUGAGUGAUAGAUAUUAUAGUUGAAAUCUUAGGUAUGUGCAGCAUAGGACUGUGCCAAAAAUAGGAGGAUGAGUUUGCAGAUCUGAUCUGACUCAUUCAUUAGAGUGGUAGAAAUUAGAAAAUAGAGAAGAAAGAGUGAAUCAACAUUUGUGGAUGUUUUGCUAUGAACAAUUAAUAUACGUGGUAGCUUCUGCCAGUGCCAUUAUAUGCUAUUGAAUAUUUAGAAGAGGGGACACACAGUGGAGUAGAGAUAUUGACAGAAGAGAGUGAGCACAUGCUGCAGUGAUUGUAUGAUAGCAUACAAUUCUUGGUGCGUGCUCACUUCUCUUUCUGUCAU
Molecule: long non-coding RNA, 371 nt
Filed under: Medicago truncatula (barrel medic)
Lineage: Eukaryota; Viridiplantae; Streptophyta; Magnoliopsida; Fabales; Fabaceae
Description: lncRNA gene27780
Rfam family: mir-156 microRNA precursor family (bases 288-371)
Source: RNAcentral